Molecule: long non-coding RNA, 1024 nt
Organism: Phyllopteryx taeniolatus (common seadragon)
Lineage: Eukaryota; Metazoa; Chordata; Actinopteri; Syngnathiformes; Syngnathidae
Exons: 2
Source: RefSeq, a predicted model, not a curated record
ACAUACCUGCUUUUAGACGAGGGCCGUUGGCACUGUAGUGUUUUACACUGUUUGAUAUCUGUCCUAAACAUUCAUACAUUAUUCAUUCAUGUCGAAAGAAAAACCUCUUUGCAAAUAAUUAACAAACAGUAGUGAAGUUGAUCUAAAAAUAGGUUGGAAAGAAUUCCAGAUCCCUGCACUCAGUUGGAUAACAUAAAUGUGAAAAGCUUAGAUGUUUUUUUUUUAGGGCUCAGACAUUAAAACGCCUACGUAUAUCGGCCAUUAUAAUAUUAUAAAGAUGCAAAACAUGGGAGUGACGCAACCUUACGCGUACUGGCGACUGAAGCUAUUUAUCUUGAUGCCACGGCUGGGGAGACAUUUAUUCGGCUCAAGCAGGGAGAGACAUUUUGGAUUUACUCGUGGAAAGCGACUCGCCAUCCAGGCCUCAAUGAAGAUUUUGACCUUUCAACCUAACUCGUUUCCAAAUGAAUUGUGAUCUGCUUAUUAUUGUUCACCUGUUCACUAAUUUAUGUGGCUAUCCAAAGAAUUCAGGAAUCAUGAGGGAGCACCCAAGCAACACCUCCUUCCGCGCUCGAAUCAUAAGCCGAAGCGGCCAGAAUUCAUCUUUCACCUGACAGGGCGCCUCCUCCGCUCGACGCAACGAGAAGCCGAGGCUCGCGGCUCCUCGUGAGCCCAGAGGUUCCACCUGGUUUGUCAUCCGAUUCCAGUGGGAGGGAGGCAUGAAGACGGCUCCUACUGACACCUCUUCCAGGAAACAUCAGCAGCAGCUCCCUCGGAAAGUGAACGUUUCGUGCCUCUGCGUGCUGUGGACUUUAUUUCCACUGAAAAUCAGCUGUGUCGCAAACAAGGGGAAAUUGCAGGCUCAGUAAUUACUGUAAUAGCGAGAGUGACAUCAAUAGAAGUGCUGUAAUAGUUUUGGAAAUCAUUUCAUUCUAAUAUACUAUUAAACUACUAAUAAAUUGAUCUACCUUCAGUUUGUUCAGAGUUGGAAUUUUGUCUGUAAUAAAUAAUGCAAAUAAUCUCA